UGGGGAAUAUUGCACAAUGGGCGCAAGCCUGAUGCAGCCAUGCCGCGUGUAUGAAGAAGGCCUUCGGGUUGUAAAGUACUUUCAGCGAGGAGGAAGGCGUUGUGGUUAAUAACCGCAACGAUUGACGUUACUCGCAGAAGAAGCACCGGCUAACUCCGUGCCAGCAGCCGCGGUAAUACGGAGGGUGCAAGCGUUAAUCGGAAUUACUGGGCGUAAAGCGCACGCAGGCGGUCUGUCAAGUCGGAUGUGAAAUCCCCGGGCUGAACCUGGGAACUGCAUCCGAAACUGGCAGGCUAGAGUCUUGUAGAGGGGGGUAGAAUUCCAGGUGUAGCGGUGAAAUGCGUAGAGAUCUGGAGGAAUACCGGUGGCGAAGGCGGC
This 378-nucleotide ribosomal RNA is filed under the name uncultured bacterium. RNAcentral's name for it is "partial 16S ribosomal RNA". It matches the Rfam family "Bacterial small subunit ribosomal RNA", at positions 355 to 725 of the family's 1533-position model. The record is from RNAcentral.